RNAcentral lists this ribosomal RNA (590 nucleotides) under Bacillus sp. CH21_1T. RNAcentral describes it as "bacterial SSU rRNA". It matches the Rfam family "Bacterial small subunit ribosomal RNA", at positions 60 to 632 of the family's 1533-position model. Lineage: Bacteria; Bacillati; Bacillota; Bacilli; Caryophanales; Bacillaceae. The record is from RNAcentral.
AGUCGAGCGGACCGACGGGAGCUUGCUCCCUUAGGUCAGCGGCGGACGGGUGAGUAACACGUGGGUAACCUGCCUGUAAGACUGGGAUAACUCCGGGAAACCGGGGCUAAUACCGGAUGCUUGAUUGAACCGCAUGGUUCAAUCAUGAAAGGCGGCUUCGGCUGCCGUUUACAGAUGGACCCGCGGCGCAUUAGCUAGUUGGUGAGGUAACGGCUCACCAAGGCGACGAUGCGUAGCCGACCUGAGAGGGUGAUCGGCCACACUGGGACUGAGACACGGCCCAGACUCCUACGGGAGGCAGCAGUAGGGAAUCUUCCGCAAUGGACGAAAGUCUGACGGAGCAACGCCGCGUGAGUGAUGAAGGUUUUCGGAUCGUAAAGCUCUGUUGUUAGGGAAGAACAAGUACCGUUCGAAUAGGGCGGUACCUUGACGGUACCUAACCAGAAAGCCACGGCUAACUACGUGCCAGCAGCCGCGGUAAUACGUAGGUGGCAAGCGUUGUCCGGAAUUAUUGGGCGUAAAGCGCGCGCAGGCGGUUUCUUAAGUCUGAUGUGAAAGCCCCCGGCUCAACCGGGGAGGGUCAUUGGAAA